Molecule: ribosomal RNA, 464 nt
Filed under: uncultured bacterium
Lineage: Bacteria
Description: partial 16S ribosomal RNA
Rfam family: Bacterial small subunit ribosomal RNA
Source: RNAcentral
GACGAACGCUGGCGGCGUGCUUAACACAUGCAAGUCGAACGGUAAGGCCCUUUCGGGGGUACACGAGUGGCGAACGGGUGAGUAACACGUGGGUGAUCUGCCCUGCCCUUUGGGAUAAGCCUGGGAAACUGGGUCUAAUACCGGAUAGGACUACGCGAUGCAUGUCGUGUGGUGGAAAGCUUUUGCGGUGUGGGAUGGGCCCGCGGCCUAUCAGCUUGUUGGUGGGGUGAUGGCCUACCAAGGCGACGACGGGUAGCCGGCCUGAGAGGGUGUCCGGCCACACUGGGACUGAGAUACGGCCCAGACUCCUACGGGAGGCAGCAGUGGGGAAUAUUGCACAAUGGGCGCAAGCCUGAUGCAGCGACGCCGCGUGGGGGAUGACGGCCUUCGGGUUGUAAACCCCUUUCAGCACAGACGAAGCGUAAGUGACGGUAUGUGCAGAAGAAGCACCGGCCAACUACGUG